CACCGCGCCUGCAUGCGUGUCUCCUCCUCCGCCGCCUUCCCCAGCAGCCCUACAACCUGAUCGGUCCAAAAUAAAGAACAAGAGUUGAUAAAGGAGGGGCUUAAGGAGAAGUUGUUGGCCCGGCUGUGACCGAAGAGGGAGGGAAGACCAAGGUGAUGCAACAUCCAAUAAGGCAAUAUUGGCGGAAAGAAGCCCCAACUUAUGAACCAGCACAGUCAGGGCUGAAGACGAGAGGUCACCUGCACGCAUAGAAAAGUUUCUGGAUUAGGGCAGAAUUAACACAAAGCAGCGACGCCACUCCAGCUACACUCGCAAACAACGCAGAAGAGGCACGAGGGGGACUGAGACACUUGAGCGAACGCCACCUCAGAAAAUUUCAAACUCUGAUAGCGAGAGGCAGACGAGUCCAUCCCCAGAGAGAGAGAGAGGCAGCAGAGGCAGAGAGACGGCAGCAGGGGAUCUUUGCCGACAAGGUCCUGAAGGAUGGAAGAGAAGCAGUUUGCCGGG
This is a long non-coding RNA of Epinephelus fuscoguttatus (brown-marbled grouper), 507 nucleotides long. RefSeq lists it as uncharacterized. The record is from RefSeq and is a predicted model, not a curated record. The transcript is spliced from 3 exons. NCBI's taxonomy places the organism in Eukaryota, Metazoa, Chordata, Actinopteri, Perciformes, Serranidae.